Prunus mume (Japanese apricot) is the source of this 681-nucleotide non-coding RNA. The record is from RefSeq and is a predicted model, not a curated record. Lineage: Eukaryota; Viridiplantae; Streptophyta; Magnoliopsida; Rosales; Rosaceae.
GUAUUUGGGGAGGGUGUUGUUAACGAUGCUACAUCUGUGGUGCUUUUCAAUGCUAUCCAGAGCUUUGAUCUCACUCACAUUGAUUCCAGAAUUGCUUUGCAUUUUAUGGGCAACUUCUUAUAUUUGUUUUUCACAAGCACCAUGCUAGGAGUGUUUGCAGGGCUGCUCAGUGCUUACAUUAUUAAAAAGCUUUAUUUUGGCAGGCACUCUACAGAUCGCGAGGUUGCUCUUAUGAUGCUCAUGGCAUACCUGUCAUAUAUACUGGCUGAAGUAAGCUUCUCCUCUACUCUGGGCAGAUGAUGACCAAUCCUUUGCUGAGGAGGAUUCUCACUUUUCUGGUGAGCGGUACUUUCAAGCGAAAAAUGUUGAACCAAUUGUAACAUCAGAUGAUCCUAUAGGACUAACAGUGACUGAAUUGUAUGCGAGGAGUGAUGAGAAUGAUUUAAUAGCUCAAUAUGAUGGACAGUUGAUGUACAUCACAGCAAGGCAGUUGAACACCAAGAUCAGUGAGGAGAUAGCAAAGCCAGUUGAGCUCGGCAGCUGCAUUAGCUACUGACCUGUACUCAGCUUCAGUGGAAGACCUUGCAACAGAUUUUUGCUUUUUAGAACUCCAGGAGACGGGAUUACACCCAAGAUAGAUGACAUAAGCACUGGUGGAUGAAAAAUCAUUCUUGUCACCUG